Calocera cornea HHB12733 is the source of this 83-nucleotide transfer RNA. It matches the Rfam family "tRNA". From Rfam's summary of the family: Transfer RNA (tRNA) molecules are approximately 80 nucleotides in length. Their secondary structure includes four short double-helical elements and three loops (D, anti-codon, and T loops). NCBI's taxonomy places the organism in Eukaryota, Fungi, Basidiomycota, Dacrymycetes, Dacrymycetales, Dacrymycetaceae. The record is from Rfam.
GGUCGAGUGGCGCAAUUGGUUAGCGCGUCGAGCUAAUAUUCUAGUUGACUCGAAGGCUGUGGGUUCGAGACCCAUCUUGACCA